GACGAACGCUGGCGGCGUGCUUAACACAUGCAAGUCGAACGGUGAAGGGGCCUGCUUUUGUGGGCCCUGGAUGAGUGGCGAACGGGUGAGUAACACGUGAGUAACCUGCCCCCUUCUUCUGGAUAACCGCAUGAAAGUGUGGCUAAUACGGGAUAUUCUGGGUCUGUCGCAUGAUGGGUCUGGGAAAGAUUGCGCCUUUGGGUGUUUUUGGUGGGGGAUGGGCUCGCGGCCUAUCAGCUUGUUGGUGGGGUGAUGGCCUACCAAGGCGGUGACGGGUAGCCGGCCUGAGGGGGUGGACGGUCACACUGGGACUGAGACACGGCCCAGACUCCUACGGGAGGCAGCAGUGGGGAAUAUUGCACAAUGGGCGCAAGCCUGAUGCAGCGACGCCGCGUGAGGGAUGGAGGCCUUCGGGUUGUAAACCUCUUUCGCCAGUGAAGCAGGCCUGCUCCGUGUGGGUGGGUUGACGGUAGCUGGAUAAGAAGCGCCGGCUAACUACGUG
RNAcentral lists this ribosomal RNA (502 nucleotides) under uncultured bacterium. RNAcentral describes it as "partial 16S ribosomal RNA". It matches the Rfam family "Bacterial small subunit ribosomal RNA", at positions 28 to 507 of the family's 1533-position model. The record is from RNAcentral.